This 399-nucleotide ribosomal RNA is filed under the name uncultured bacterium. Its description in RNAcentral is "partial 16S ribosomal RNA". It matches the Rfam family "Bacterial small subunit ribosomal RNA", at positions 360 to 773 of the family's 1533-position model. The record is from RNAcentral.
AAUCUUGCGCAAUGGGCGAAAGCCUGACGCAGCGACGCCGCGUGAGUGAAGAAGGCCUUCGGGUUGUAAAACUCUGUCCUCAGGGAAUAAGCAAGUGACGGUAGCUGAGGAGGAAGCCCCGGCUAACUACGUUCCAGCAGCCGCGGUAAUCAGUAGGGGGCGAGCGUUGUCCGGAAUCAAUGGGCGUAAAGGGUGCGUAGGCGACCUUUUAAGUCAGGUGUGAAAGACCACAGCUUAACUGUGGGGUUGCAUUUAAAACUUGAAGGCUUGAGUAUCGGAGAGAGUAGUGGAAUUCCCAGUGUAGCGGUGGAAUGCGUAGAUAUUGGGAGGAACACCAGUGGCGAAGGCGACUACCUGGACGAAAACUGACGCUGAGGCACGAAAGCUAGGGGAGCAAAC